GACGAACGUUGGCGGCGUGCUUAAUACAUGCAAGUCAACUGAAGCAGUGGUAGCAAUAUCGCUGUGGAGGUGGCGCACGGGUGAGUAACACGUAGGUAAUCUGCCUUCAGGUCUGGCAUAACUCCGGGAAACCGGGGCUAAUAGCGGAUGAUGCAGCGGCUCGACAUCGAGACAGUUGUUAAAGCUAUGGCGCCUGAAGAUGAGCCUGCGUCUGAUUAGCUAGUUGGCGGGGUAACGGCCCACCAAGGCAACGAUCAGUAGCUGGUCUGAGAGGAUGAUCAGCCACACUGGAACUGAGACACGGUCCAGACUACUACGGGAGGCAGCAGUAAGGAAUAUUGCUCAAUGGGAGAAAUCCUGAAGCAGCAACGCCGCGUGAGGGACGAAGGGCUUUUGCUUGUAAACCUCUGUAGUGAGAGAAAAAAAUCCCAAUCUUUGGGACAUGAUGGUAUCUCAAAAGUAAGCCCCGGCUAACUACGUG
This 481-nucleotide ribosomal RNA is filed under the name uncultured bacterium. Its description in RNAcentral is "partial 16S ribosomal RNA". It matches the Rfam family "Bacterial small subunit ribosomal RNA", at positions 28 to 507 of the family's 1533-position model. The record is from RNAcentral.